This 301-nucleotide ribosomal RNA is filed under the name uncultured bacterium. RNAcentral describes it as "partial 16S ribosomal RNA". It matches the Rfam family "Bacterial small subunit ribosomal RNA", at positions 509 to 807 of the family's 1533-position model. The record is from RNAcentral.
CAGCCGCCACGGGAAUACGUAGGGGGCAAGCGUUAUCCGGAUUUACUGGGUGUAAAGGGAGCGCAGACGGCUCUGCAAGUCUGAAGUGAAAGCCCGCGGCUUAACCGCGGGACUGCUUUGGAAACUGCAAGGCUUGAGUAUCGGAGGGGCAGGCGGAAUUCCUAGUGUAGCGGUGAAAUGCCUAGAUAUUAGGAAGAACACCGGUGGCGAAGGCGGCCUGCUGGACGAAAACUGACGUUGAGGCUCGAAGACGUGGGGAGCAAACAGGAUUAGAUACCCCAGUAGUCCCUGUCUCUUAUAC